RNAcentral lists this ribosomal RNA (406 nucleotides) under uncultured bacterium. RNAcentral describes it as "partial 16S ribosomal RNA". It matches the Rfam family "Bacterial small subunit ribosomal RNA", at positions 28 to 526 of the family's 1533-position model. The record is from RNAcentral.
GCUGAACGCUAGCUACAGGCUUAACACAUGCAAUUCGAGGGACCGGCACACGGGUGAGUAACACGUGUCCAACCUGCCCUUUACUCGGGGAUAGCCUUUCGAACGAAAGUUUAAUACCCGAUAUACCGGCUGGGGAUGCGGUCCAUUAGGUUGUUGGUGAGUUAACGGCUCACCAAGCCUUCGAUGGAUAGGGGUUCUGAGAGGAAGGUCCCCCACAUUGUAACGGAGACACGAUCCCAACUCCGACGGGCGGCAGCAGAGAUGAAUAUUGGUCAAUGGUCGCUAGCCUGAAACAGCCAAUUAGCGUGAAGGAUGAAGGCUUAUGGGUCGUAAACUUCUUUUAUAUAAGAAUGUGUAUGAUAUGAAUAAGGAUCGGCUAACACCGUGCCAGCAGCCGCGAUAAAUC